This 77-nucleotide transfer RNA is filed under the name Microbacterium flavescens. RNAcentral describes it as "tRNA-Pro". RNAcentral also lists the same sequence under 1 other name. The record is from RNAcentral. Lineage: Bacteria; Bacillati; Actinomycetota; Actinomycetes; Micrococcales; Microbacteriaceae.
CCCGCCGCGCGGCGCGCCCCGCUCACGCCCGGCGGGUUCGGUGCACGCGCGGCGGGUUCGAUGCACGCGCGGCGGGU